Non-coding RNA from Podarcis lilfordi (Lilford's wall lizard), 69 nucleotides. NCBI's taxonomy places the organism in Eukaryota, Metazoa, Chordata, Lepidosauria, Squamata, Lacertidae. The record is from the annotation of a GenBank genome assembly.
GCAGUAGCUCAGUGGUAGAGCACCUGCCUUGCAUGCAGCCGGUCUCAGGUUCAAUCCCCAAUGGCAUCC